ACUCCUACGGGAGGCAGCAGUGGGGAAUUUUGGACAAUGGGGGAAACCCUGAUCCAGCCAUGCCGCGUGUAUGAAGAAGGCCUUAGGGUUGUAAAGUACUUUUGUUAGGGAAGAAAGCUAGUUUUAAUAAAAUUAGUGAUGACGGUACCUAAAGAAUAAGCAUCGGCUAACUACGUGCCAGCAGCCGCGGUAAUACGUAGGGUGCAAGCGUUAAUCGGAAUUAUUGGGCGUAAAGCGAGUGCAGACGGUUACUUAAGCCAGAUGUGAAAUCCCCAAGCUUAACUUGGGACGUGCAUUUGGAACUGGGUGACUAGAGUGUGUCAGAGGGAGGUAGAAUUCCACAUGUAGCGGUGGAAUGCGUAGAGAUGUGGAGGAAUACCGAUGGCGAAGGCAGCCUCCUGGGAUAACACUGACGUUGAGGCUCGAAAGCGUGGGGAGCAAACAGGAUUAGAUACCCUGGUAGCUACGAG
Molecule: ribosomal RNA, 470 nt
Filed under: uncultured bacterium
Lineage: Bacteria
Description: bacterial SSU rRNA
Rfam family: Bacterial small subunit ribosomal RNA
Source: RNAcentral